Molecule: ribosomal RNA, 252 nt
Filed under: uncultured bacterium
Lineage: Bacteria
Description: partial 16S ribosomal RNA
Rfam family: Bacterial small subunit ribosomal RNA
Source: RNAcentral
GCAAUACAGCAAUGUGGAGCGAAUCUCAAAAAGAUAGUCUCAGUUCGGACUGUGGGCUGCAACCCGCCCACACGAAGUCGGAGUUGCUAGUAAUCCCGAAUCAGCAUGUCGGGGUGAAUGCGUUCCCGGGUCUUGUACACACCGCCCGUCACGCCAUGGGAGUCGGAAGUGCCCAAAGUCGGUGACCUAACCGCAAGGAAGGAGCCGCCUAAGGUAAUGCCGAUGACUGGGGUGAAGUCGUAACAAGGUACC